RNAcentral lists this ribosomal RNA (254 nucleotides) under uncultured bacterium. RNAcentral's name for it is "partial 16S ribosomal RNA". It matches the Rfam family "Bacterial small subunit ribosomal RNA", at positions 524 to 776 of the family's 1533-position model. The record is from RNAcentral.
UACGUAGGGGGCGAGCGUUGUCCGAAGUUACUGGGCGUAAAGCGCGCGUAGGCGGUCUUUUAAGUCUGGUGUGAAAGGUUCAGGGCUCAACCCGAACAGUGCACUGGAUACUGGGAGACUUGAGUGCGGGAGAGGAGAGUGGAAUUCCUGGUGUAGCGGUGAAAUGCGUAGAUAUCGGGAGGAACACCAGUGGCGAAGGCGGCGAUCUGGGAAGAUACUGACGCUGAUGCACGAAAGCUAGGGGAGCAAACGGG